RNAcentral lists this ribosomal RNA (253 nucleotides) under uncultured bacterium. Its description in RNAcentral is "partial 16S ribosomal RNA". It matches the Rfam family "Bacterial small subunit ribosomal RNA", at positions 524 to 776 of the family's 1533-position model. The record is from RNAcentral.
UACGUAGGGGGCAAGCGUUGUCCGGAAUCAUUGGGCGUAAAGAGCGUGUAGGCGGUUCGGUAAGUCGGCUGUGAAAGUCCAGGGCUCAACCCUGGGAUGCCGGUCGAUACUGCCGGACUAGAGUUCGGAAGAGGCGAGUGGAAUUCUUGGUGUAGCGGUGAAAUGCGUAGAUAUCAAGAGGAACACCUGCGGCGAAGGCGGGUUGCUGGGCCGACACUGACGCUGAGGCGCGAAAGCCAGGGGAGCGAACGGG